UACGGAGGGUGCGAGCGUUAAUCGGAAUUACUGGGCGUAAAGGGUUCGUAGGUGGUUUGAUAAGUUAUCUGUAAAAUCCCUGGCUCAACCUAGGAAGGCCAGAUAAUACUGUUGAACUCGAGUAUGGGAGAGGGUAGUGGAAUUUCCGGUGUAGCGGUGAAAUGCGUAGAGAUCGGAAGGAACACCAGUGGGCGAAGGCG
RNAcentral lists this ribosomal RNA (200 nucleotides) under uncultured bacterium. RNAcentral describes it as "partial 16S ribosomal RNA". It matches the Rfam family "Bacterial small subunit ribosomal RNA", at positions 524 to 723 of the family's 1533-position model. The record is from RNAcentral.